CCUCCCACCGAUUCUGAAAUGAGGCGAAAAAUCUUCAGUCCUCCGCAAAUCUAGUGGGUGGAUUUGGGCCCAGACCAGGUCUAGAGAAAGAUGUUGAGAACCUGUCUGAGAAAAUGAGGUCUUUCACAUGACUGGCAGGGGAACUUCUGAGGGAGAUAGAACACAACAUAUUCAGCUGAAGAUCUCAGUAUUCAAGCAAGUUCAUAUGGGAGAAGAUAAUGUAUUGCAUGAUCUAUUGCAAUCCACCCUGGGAAUCUUUGAUGGACAGCUAUGCCACUUGAUACCAAUGUGGCCCAACGCACCAAGGCUACAUGGCUGUACACACCCUCAAUCCUUUCUUUAAGGCGAAAUUCACCCUCGAUCUUUUCUUUAAAGAGGAAUGAGACUGACG
Hemicordylus capensis (graceful crag lizard) is the source of this 391-nucleotide long non-coding RNA. RefSeq lists it as uncharacterized. The transcript has 3 exons. The record is from RefSeq and is a predicted model, not a curated record. Lineage: Eukaryota; Metazoa; Chordata; Lepidosauria; Squamata; Cordylidae.